UACGUGGGGAGCAAGCGUUGUUCGGAUUUACUGGGCGUAAAGGGCGCGUAGGCGGCGUAACAAGUCACUUGUGAAAUCUCCGGGCUUAACCCGGAGCGGCCAAGUGAUACUGUUGUGCUAGAGUGCGGAAGGGGCUACUGGAAUUCUCGGUGUAGCGGUGAAAUGCGUAGAUAUCGAGAGGAACGCCUGCGGCGAAGGCGGGUAGCUGGGCCGACACUGACGCUGAGGCGCGAAAGCCAGGGGAGCGAACGGG
Molecule: ribosomal RNA, 253 nt
Filed under: uncultured bacterium
Lineage: Bacteria
Description: partial 16S ribosomal RNA
Rfam family: Bacterial small subunit ribosomal RNA
Source: RNAcentral